GUGUACCAAGCGUACACAUCGGCUCCGGCGCGUCGCCACACCCACCUGACGACUGCCGGCGACGUUCUGUUAGCC
This 75-nucleotide small RNA is filed under the name Xanthomonas arboricola. RNAcentral's name for it is "sRNA sX9". It matches the Rfam family "Xanthomonas sRNA sX9". The record is from RNAcentral. Lineage: Bacteria; Pseudomonadati; Pseudomonadota; Gammaproteobacteria; Lysobacterales; Lysobacteraceae. RNAcentral also lists the same sequence under 1 other name.